Molecule: non-coding RNA, 88 nt
Filed under: unclassified sequences
Source: RNAcentral
AAUUUACUGCUACCGAGUAGUAGAAUGCCAAGCAUUCGUUUACACAUCGUCAGGUCUUAGAAGAUGUGUAUGCGGGUGCUUAUUUUUU